UCCGGGUUCGAGUCCCGGGCAACCCA
RNAcentral lists this transfer RNA (26 nucleotides) under Eucalyptus globulus. RNAcentral's name for it is "partial tRNA-Lys". Lineage: Eukaryota; Viridiplantae; Streptophyta; Magnoliopsida; Myrtales; Myrtaceae. The record is from RNAcentral. RNAcentral also lists the same sequence under 2 other names.